UACGAAGGGGGCUAGCGUUGCUCGGAAUCACUGGGCGUAAAGCGCACGUAGGCGGAUUCUUAAGUCAGGGGUGAAAUCCUGGAGCUCAACUCCAGAACUGCCUUUGAUACUGGGAAUCUCGAGUCCGGGAGAGGUGAGUGGAACUGCGAGUGUAGAGGUGAAAUUCGUAGAUAUUCGCAAGAACACCAGUGGCGAAGGCGGCUCACUGGCCCGGUACUGACGCUGAGGCACGAAAGCGUGGGGAGCAAACAGG
RNAcentral lists this ribosomal RNA (253 nucleotides) under uncultured bacterium. Its description in RNAcentral is "partial 16S ribosomal RNA". It matches the Rfam family "Bacterial small subunit ribosomal RNA", at positions 524 to 776 of the family's 1533-position model. The record is from RNAcentral.